CACGAGGAUCCAUUGGAGGGCAAGUCUGGUGCCAGCAGCCGCGGUAACUCCAGCUCCAAUAGCGUAUAUUAAAGUUGCUGCAGUUAAAAAGCUCGUAGUUGGAUCUCGGUCGCAUUUUUGCCUGCUGGUAUUAUUGGGUGACUGCACUGGAGUGUCUCAAGUCCUCGGCGUGUGCUUGGCCUUCUGGUGAAGGGCACGUCGGUGGCGUGAGGUGCUCCCUAAACGGUGUGGUUAUCCCAAGCUGGCAUGGCGAGGAUGUAACCUGUAAGCCAUGUCUGUGGAGUAAUGUCCACAGGUGGACGCGGGUGUCGGGCAGUGCACUGCACUUGUUGUGGAGCCUGUCGGCCCGCGUGCAUGCCCCCUCUGGUGCCCUUAAUAAGGUGUCGGGGGGCGGAUGGCACGUUUACUUUGAACAAAUUUGAGUGCUCAAAUCAGGCCGAUGUUGCCUGAAUAGUUUUGCAUGGAAUAAUGGAAUAGGACUUCGGUUCUAUUUCGUUGGUUUUCGGAUCCGAAGUAAUGAUCAAAAGAGACAGGCGGGGACGUUUGUAUGGCUGCGCUAGAGGUGAAAUUCAUGGACCGUAGCCAGACAAACUAAAGCGAAAGCAUUCGUCAAGCAUGUUUUCAUUGGCCAUGAGCGAAAGUCAGAGGCUCGAAGACGAUCAGAUACCGUCCUAGUUCUGACCAUAAACGAUGCCAACUGACGAUCCGUGGUGGUAGUGUUAACCUUCCCCACGGGCAGUCCCCGGGAAACCUUUAAGUCUUUGGUCCG
RNAcentral lists this ribosomal RNA (769 nucleotides) under Dilepis sp. racIT. RNAcentral describes it as "SSU rRNA". It matches the Rfam family "Eukaryotic small subunit ribosomal RNA", at positions 536 to 1116 of the family's 1831-position model. Lineage: Eukaryota; Metazoa; Platyhelminthes; Cestoda; Cyclophyllidea; Dilepididae. The record is from RNAcentral.